AUGUCCACCUCCACCGCCGUUCCUACCUCUGGCCUCAACUACAACACAUCUGAGCCUCUCACCGGGACGAACUACGUCCUCUGGCGAGCUCAAGCACGAUCCCAGAUAAUGGGCGCCGGCUUGUAUGGCUAUAUCGACAAAACCCUAGAGGAGCCUCCCAAAACCAUAGUCACCAAAGACAAAGACGGCAGGGAUCAGGUUGCCUCUAACCCUGCCUAUGCCCCCUGGCUUGUCCAGGACCAACAAAUCGUCGCCUAUAUUCUUCGAAACCUCUCCAAAGAGGUCCUUGUUCAGGUGGCGUCCAUGGAAACCUCACACGCGAUCUGGACAGCGUUAGCUAAUAUGUUCUCGGCUGUCUCCCUCUCCCGCGUCAACAACAUCCGCGCUGCCCUCACCAACGCGCAGAAGGGCACGCAAUCUGCCUCGGCGUUCUUUGGGCACAUGUGUUCCCUCUCUGAUGAGCUUGCGGCGGCGGGAAAGCCUAUCGGAGAACCGGAACUGAUCUCCUUCAUUGUUGCCGGCCUCGAACUGGAAUACCAACCACUCAUCUCCGCCCUUGAUGUUCGCGUCGAGCCCAUUACUGUCGACCACCUCUUCUCUUUGGUCGCAAAUUUUGAUCAGCGCCUCGAGAUGUAUCAUGGCAAUGGCGCUGGUGGCUUAAAGUCUUCAGCGAACGCUGCCUCCAGCGGCCGCCAGGGAGGCAACAGGGGCGGCUACCGAUCUUAG
This 726-nucleotide ribosomal RNA is filed under the name Triticum aestivum (bread wheat). RNAcentral's name for it is "partial small subunit ribosomal RNA". Lineage: Eukaryota; Viridiplantae; Streptophyta; Magnoliopsida; Poales; Poaceae. The record is from RNAcentral.